Molecule: ribosomal RNA, 500 nt
Filed under: uncultured bacterium
Lineage: Bacteria
Description: bacterial SSU rRNA
Rfam family: Bacterial small subunit ribosomal RNA
Source: RNAcentral
GAUGAACGCUAGCGGCAGGCCUAACACAUGCAGGUCGAGGGGUAACUAGAGUGAUAGCAAUAUUACUUUGGCUAGACCGGCGCACGGGUGCGUAACACGUAUGCAACCUACCUUAUACUGGGGAAUAACUUCGAGAAAUCGGCGCUAAUACCCCAUAACACUGCGAAGAGGCAUCUCUUUGCAUUUAAAGCUCCGGCGGUAUAAGAUGGGCAUGCGUCCUAUUAGCUAGAUGGUAAGGUAACGGCUUACCAUGGCAACGAUAGGUAGGGGUCCUGAGAGGGAGAUCCCCCACACUGGUACUGAGACACGGACCAGACUCCUACGGGAGGCAGUAGUGAGGAAUAUUGGUCAAUGGGCGCAAGCCUGAUCCAGCCAUGCCGCGUGUGUGAAGAAGGUCUUCGGAUUGUAAAGCACUUUAAGUUGGGAGAGGGCAGUAACCUAAUACGUUAUUGUUUUGACGUUACCGACAGAAUAAGCACCGGCUAACUUCGUGCCAGCAG